GCGCCUGAGGGGCUCGCUUGUGGGUGUGCUGGCAGGAUAUUUUUGUUUGUGCGUCAAGAAUUCUACAUACAGUAGCACGUUUGUAUGAAGGUGUGAUUAUUCACAGGCAAAUUGUUAUAUGCUAUGGAGGUACAUUUGUGUCUUUGUCGAGAGCAAAACGUUUUAUUUUCAAUCAAAAAGCAAAUUUUUCAAACACAAAGGAAGUCAUAGCGGACACCACCAAAGAAGGACUGUGAUGAUGGCAUCUCAGGAUGAAAGAACACCGUCUGUCACGAAGAGUUAAGGAGUCUUUACAGCGUGUAGAUGGUGCAGAGAGCAAGCUGAUCAAGGGGUCAAAAAUGUAGAUAUUCCCAGAUGUUCACUGCCCGAGGAAAAGGCAGUGGAAGCUUCAUUGCUGGCAAAAGUGUCCAUAACCAGAGGUUAUAUCUGCUGUUUUGUAGAACCCCUCAUGCAUCUGAACUGGCUGACACAGAUGGCAUAGCAUGAUCAUAGGUAUGUUUUGAUGUGAGAGAGGAAGCCUGUCCCAUCAUCGGCACCUCACACGCUCUUAAGAUUUGGGCCCCCAGUUGGCCCGAAGGGUUAGGAGACACCGUGAUUGUGAUGAACUGAGAGAAUAUUAGGGUAGCACUGUAAUUCAUUAAUCGGAUGCUGUCUACCGCUGGUCUUACCACUUUCCCUUUGUCUUCCACACCUCUCUCCCCACCUCGUCUUUCUUCCUUGUUUAAUAAUGCACACCGUAUGUUCAUUGAAGUACAGAUUGAACUUGUAUUUAUAUUAUAAUGCAUGUAUUAUGUUUUUAUAACACCUGGCUAAUGAACGUCUUUCAAUAAAUGUUUCACAUUCUCCA
Molecule: non-coding RNA, 847 nt
Organism: Oncorhynchus mykiss (rainbow trout)
Lineage: Eukaryota; Metazoa; Chordata; Actinopteri; Salmoniformes; Salmonidae
Source: RefSeq, a predicted model, not a curated record